This is a long non-coding RNA of Gorilla gorilla gorilla (western lowland gorilla), 1245 nucleotides long. RefSeq lists it as uncharacterized. NCBI's taxonomy places the organism in Eukaryota, Metazoa, Chordata, Mammalia, Primates, Hominidae. The transcript is spliced from 3 exons. The record is from RefSeq and is a predicted model, not a curated record.
AUGGGGGAGCCCGGGCAGAGCGAGAGGGUGGUGAGUUGCGUCUGUAGCUGUGCAUUGACGGCGCCGUGCGGCCCGGCUGCAGGUCCCGCAGCCACGGAGAGGACCCAGCAGGCGGCACGGGGAGAGCCCGGCUCGGCACGUGGUCAGCUCCAAGUCAGCCCUGAAAUGUCCAUUACUCACAAAGAAAAGGAAAAUGCUCAUUUGAAAGAAAUUCUUCUCUUUGUCAAUGCUGAGGCAUUCUCUCAGCCCCAGCCCCACAGUGCUCCAGUGUGUGAAGGGCAACAGCUGACGGGGAAGUUGAGCACAUCUGUCCUGACCAGGGCUGGAGGCGAUGCCAGUCCGUGCAGCUGGGAACGCCUCCUCUGCUAUGGCUGGAGCCACUGCUGAAGGGACUCCACCUGGCACCUGUGCCACCAAUGGCCCCUGAACGGGUAUCCAGGCCCACCCUUAAUAAAGAUGAGCUGCUCAUUCCCAGUUUCAGACCUUCUUUAUCCUCCCCAGCUCCCCAGUGUGUUCUGGGAGAGAUCCCUCCACUGUCAGACAAAAACUUCAGAAUGACAGCGGUCAUCCCACCGAGUGCCAGCAGCGUUGGCAUGUGCUUCUCCUCGUCAGUGCGCCUCUGGCUCAGUCCAAUGCCAAGCACUUACAGCUGGGGAAACACGCACAAGCACAUACACACCCCAUACACUGGCACAGGCUCACAUGUGCACACACCCACACAUGUGCAAACACACACAUGUGCAAACACACACACAGAGGCACAUGCACAUUCUCACACAGGCACACACAAUGCACACAUGCACGAUGCACACACAGGCACACACAUGCACACCCCCACACAUGCUUACACAUGAACUUACCUGCACAUUCCCACACACGGACAUGCAGGCACACCCCUCCACACACACAUAUACGCACAUGUAUGCACAGCUUCUCACAGAUACACAAAGCAAUGCAGGUACUCAUGUAUGUAUACAUGAGCACACAUGCAUGCACACAGGCACACACAUGUGCACAAACAUAUAUAUGCACACACCCACACAUGCACAACACACACACAUAGGCACACAUGUGCACACACUCACAUGCACACACGCUCCCAUCCCCCCACCACACAAUCACACAGACGCCUAAUGCCUCGCAGCAGGUGAGACCACCCGUCAGUAGGAUUAGGGGCCAACAGAGGGUUCCGGCAGCAGAUGCAGGCAGUUUGGAGAAGGGGCUGGGCGUGAGCUAAGGCAGACA